CGCUGGCGGCAGGCUUAACACAUGCAAGUCGAACGGUAACAUAGAGAAGCUUGCUUCUUUGAUGACGAGUGGCGGACGGGUGAGUAAUGCUUGGGAAUCUGGCUUAUGGAGGGGGAUAACUACGGGAAACUGUAGCUAAUMCCGCGUAAUAUCGAAAGAUUAAAGUGUGGGACCUUCGGGCCACAUGCCAUAGGAUGAGCCCAAGUGGGAUUAGGUAGUUGGUGAGGUAAAGGCUCACCAAGCCGACGAUCUCUAGCUGGUCUGAGAGGAUGACCAGCCACACUGGGACUGAGACACGGCCCAGACUCCUACGGGAGGCAGCAGUGGGGAAUAUUGCGCAAUGGGGGCAACCCUGACGCAGCCAUGCCGCGUGAAUGAAGAAGGCCUUCGGGUUGUAAAGUUCUUUCGGUAGCGAGGAAGGUGGUUAGUUUAAUAGGCUAGCCAAUUGACGUUAACUACAGAAGAAGCACCGGCUAACUCCGUGCC
This 486-nucleotide ribosomal RNA is filed under the name Haemophilus sp. 'paraurethrae'. Its description in RNAcentral is "bacterial SSU rRNA". It matches the Rfam family "Bacterial small subunit ribosomal RNA", at positions 34 to 509 of the family's 1533-position model. Lineage: Bacteria; Pseudomonadati; Pseudomonadota; Gammaproteobacteria; Pasteurellales; Pasteurellaceae. The record is from RNAcentral.